This 1253-nucleotide ribosomal RNA is filed under the name metagenome. RNAcentral describes it as "bacterial LSU rRNA". It matches the Rfam family "Bacterial large subunit ribosomal RNA", at positions 1635 to 2877 of the family's 2925-position model. The record is from RNAcentral.
GACACGACCGUACCGCAAACCGACACUGGUGCGCGAGAUGAGUAUUCUAAGGCGCUUGAGAGAACUCGGGAGAAGGAACUCGGCAAAUUGACACCGUAACUUCGGAAGAAGGUGUGCCUUUAGUAGGUGAAGGGAUUUACUCCUGGAGCCCAAUGAGGUUGCAAAAAAUCGGUGGCUGCGACUGUUUAUUAAAAACACAGCACUCUGCAAACACGAAAGUGGACGUAUAGGGUGUGACGCCUGCCCGGUGCUGGAAGAUUAAAUGAUGGGGUGCAAGCUCUUGAUUGAAGUCCCAGUAAACGGCGGCCGUAACUAUAACGGUCCUAAGGUAGCGAAAUUCCUUGUCGGGUAAGUUCCGACCUGCACGAAUGGCGUAACGAUGGCCACACUGUCUCCUCCCGAGACUCAGCGAAGUUGAAAUGUUUGUGAUGAUGCAAUCUCCCCGCGGAAAGACGGAAAGACCCCAUGAACCUUUACUGUAGCUUUGUAUUGGACUUUGAACAGAUCUGUGUAGGAUAGGUGGGAGGCUUUGAAGCAGGGUCGCUAGAUCUUGUGGAGCCAACGUUGAAAUACCACCCUGGUGUGUUUGAGGUUCUAACCUAGGUCCAUCAUCUGGAUCGGGGACAGUGCAUGGUAGGCAGUUUGACUGGGGCGGUCUCCUCCCAAAGCGUAACGGAGGAGUUCGAAGGUACGCUAGGUACGGUCGGACAUCGUGCUAAUAGUGCAAUGGCAUAAGCGUGCUUAACUGCGAGACUGACAAGUCGAGCAGAUGCGAAAGCAGGACAUAGUGAUCCGGUGGUUCUGUAUGGAAGGGCCAUCGCUCAACGGAUAAAAGGUACUCUGGGAUAACAGGCUGAUACCGCCCAAGAGUUCAUAUCGACGGCGGUGUUUGGCACCUCGAUGUCGGCUCAUCUCAUCCUGGGGCUGUAGCCGGUCCCAAGGGUAUGGCUGUUCGCCAUUUAAAGAGGUACGUGAGCUGGGUUUAAAACGUCGUGAGACAGUUUGGUCCCUAUCUUCCGUGGGCGCUGCAGAUUUGAGGAAGCCUGCUCCUAGUACGAGAGGACCGGAGUGGACGCACCCCUGGUGUAUCGGUUGUCACGCCAGUGGCAUUGCCGAGUAGCUAUGUGCGGAAGAGAUAACCGCUGAAAGCAUCUAAGCGGGAAACUCGUUUCAAGAUGAGAUCUGCCGGGGCCUUGAGCCCCCUGAAGAGUCGUUCUAGACCAGGACGUUGAUAGGUCAGGUGUGGAAGCGAA